This 263-nucleotide ribosomal RNA is filed under the name uncultured bacterium. Its description in RNAcentral is "partial 16S ribosomal RNA". It matches the Rfam family "Bacterial small subunit ribosomal RNA", at positions 521 to 782 of the family's 1533-position model. The record is from RNAcentral.
UAAUACAGAGGGUGCGAGCGUUGUUCGGAAUUACUGGGCGUAAAGCGCGCGCAGGCGGCCUUUUAAGUCUGACGGUGAAAUGCCGGGGCUCAACCCCGUGCCCGCCGGAGAUACUGGGAGGCUGGAGACAUGUAGAGGCAAGCGGAAUUCCGGGUGUAGCGGUGGAAUGCGUAGAGAUCCGGAAGAACACCGGAGGCGAAGGCGGCUUGCUGGGCAUUGUCUGACGCUGAGGCGCGAAAGCGUGGGGAGCGAACAGGAUUAGA